ACUGAAUGGGCUAGGGCAUACACCAAUGUACCAAACCCUAUCAAACUCCGAAUACUUAUAGCGUAACCACGGCAGUCAGGCGGCGAGUGAUAAAAUCCGUCGUCAAGAGGGAAACAACCCGGACUAACAGCUAAGGUCCCCAAAUCUCAUUUAAGUGGAAAACGAUGUGAAGUUACUGAAACAACCAGGAGGUUGGCUUAGAAGCAGCCAUCCUUUAAAGAUAGCGUAAUAGCUCACUGGUCUAGUGAUUUUGCGCGGAAAAUAUAACGGGGCUAAAAUGAGUACCGAAGCUUUAGACUUGCACUUAAUCAUUUAUACUUGGCUUGGCUUUUGAGCGUCUUUAAAUGAGCUCGUAAAAAUAAAUGCUCGCGAACUAUAUGUUCGCUCCGCUUUAUUUUUACGUCGCAACAUUUAAAUCCAUCUCAAAAAUCCUGCGCCAUCUUGAGUUCAAAUUUGAACUAAACGUCUUAAUCUAAAUUUUAUAAAUUUCAAAUUUCUUAGAAUUUUAAAAUUUAACGACAAAAAGCAAAAAGACAAGCCGCAAGAAAAGUGUAAAUCAUUAAGUGCAAGUGGUAGGAGAGCGUUCCAAUCAGCGUCGAAGCCGUACCGGUAAGGAGCGGUGGAGCGGUUGGAAGUGAGCAUGCAGGCAUGAGUAGCGAUAAAAUACGUGAGAAUCGUAUUCGCCGUAAACCCAAGGUUUCCUACGCGAUGCUCGUCAUCGUAGGGUUAGUCGGGUCCUAAGCAAAGUCCGAAAGGGGUAUGCGAUGGAAAAUCGGUUAAUAUUCCGAUACCGAUAUCAGUGUGCGACGGAAGGACGCUUAAAGUUAGUGGAGCUAGCGGAUGGAAGUGCUAGUCUAAGGAAGUAGGUUGAGUUAUAGGCAAAUCCGUAACUCUUUAUCCGAGAUCUGAAAGGCUUCUGACGCUCUUCGGAGUAGAUGAAGAAUCCAUGAUACUAUCGAGCCGAGAAAAGUUUCUAAGUUUAGCUGAUAUCGCCCGUACCGUAAACCGACACAGGUGGGUGGGAUGAGUAUUCUAAGGCGCGUGGAAGAACUCUCUUCAAGGAACUCUGCAAAAUAGCACCGUAUCUUCGGUAUAAGGUGUGCCUAACUUUGUGAAGGAUUUACUCCGUAAGCAUUGAAGGUUACAACAAAGAGUCCCUCCCGACUGUUUACCAAAAACACAGCACUCUGCUAACUCGUAAGAGGAUGUAUAGGGUGUGACGCCUGCCCGGUGCUCGAAGGUUAAUUGAUGACGUUAGCUCUGCGAAGCGUUUGAUCGAAGCCCGAGUAAACGGCGGCCGUAACUAUAACGGUCCUAAGGUAGCGAAAUUCCUUGUCGAUUAAAUAUCGACCUGCAUGAAUGGCGUAACGAGAUGGGAGCUGUCUCGAAGAGGGAUCCAGUGAAAUUGUAGUGGAGGUGAAAAUUCCUCCUACCCGCGGCAAGACGGAAAGACCCCGUGGACCUUUACUACAGCUUGACACUGCUAUUGGGAUAAAAAUGUGCAGGAUAGGUGGGAGGCUUUGAUCCAUAGACGCCAGUUUAUGGUGAGCCGUUGUUGAGAUACCACUCUUUUUUAUUCUGAUAGCUAACUAGCUUGAGUUAUCCUCAAGUAGGACAAUGUCUGGUGGGUAGUUUGACUGGGGCGGUCGCCUCCCAAAAUGUAACGGAGGCUUACAAAGGUUGGCUCAGAACGGUUGGAAAUCGUUCGCAGAGUAUAAAGGCAAAAGCCAGCUUAACUGCGAGACAUACACGUCAAGCAGGGACGAAAGUCGGUCUUAGUGAUCCGGUGGUUCUGUGUGGAAGGGCCAUCGCUCAAAGGAUAAAAGGUACCCCGGGGAUAACAGGCUGAUCUCCCCCAAGAGCUCACAUCGACGGGGAGGUUUGGCACCUCGAUGUCGGCUCAUCGCAUCCUGGGGCUGGAGCAGGUCCCAAGGGUUUGGCUGUUCGCCAAUUAAAGCGGUACGUGAGCUGGGUUCAGAACGUCGCGAGACAGUUCGGUCCCUAUCUGCUAUGGGCGUUGGAUAUGUGAGGGGAGCUGCUUUUAGUACGAGAGGACCGAAGUGGACGAACCUCUGGUGUACCAGUUAUCCUGCCAAGGGUAUGUGCUGGGUAGCUAUCGUUCGGAAGGGAUAACCGCUGAAGGCAUCUAAGCGGGAAGCCCACCUCAAGAUUACAUAUCCCUCGGGGUUUAACCCCGCUAAAGACUCCUUGCACACUACAAGGUUGAUAGGUUGCAGGUCUAAGCACAGUAAUGUGUUCAGCCGAGCAAUACUAAUAAGUCGUGAGGCUUGACCAUA
Molecule: ribosomal RNA, 2297 nt
Filed under: human oral metagenome
Description: bacterial LSU rRNA
Rfam family: Bacterial large subunit ribosomal RNA
Source: RNAcentral